This 1374-nucleotide long non-coding RNA is filed under the name Piliocolobus tephrosceles (Ugandan red Colobus). Its description in RNAcentral is "lncRNA (ENSPTEG00000005003.1)". Lineage: Eukaryota; Metazoa; Chordata; Mammalia; Primates; Cercopithecidae. The record is from RNAcentral.
GGGAUUUUGGUCGCCGCGGGACGACGGAGGUCCGGGCUGGUGGCGCGGGUCCCGCCCGGCCGUGCGAGGGUGGGGUGGCGCAGUCGGCUGCCUCCGGGACGCGGGGCACGGAGUACCCGCCGCUGCUGCUGCUGCUCCUGCAGCCGCCGCUCCCACCGCCGCCGCCGCCGCCCGCGCCUCUCGCGCCGGUUACAUUAACACGCGGUUUCACACUCCGGAGCUAACCAGCGCCGGCCCCGCCCAGCCCCGCUCGGGCGGGGGGCGCGAGCGCCGAGCCUGCGGGGGACGUGGGCCCGGGAGGUUGCCGGGGGGGGGGGGGCAGGAGGCCCUCAUCAGCCAAUCGCGUGCGCUGCACCCAACGUGGGGCGCUGACGCGCGCCUCCCCGGAGCCUAUGGCAGCGCAGCGCCGGACGGGCCGUUCUCCCUCCCCCGUCCUCUCGCUUCCUUCUCCGCGGUCUCCUCGGUCUCCCCUCCCACCCCGGCCCCUCCUCCGUCAGCCGCGUCCUCCCGGGCUUGGUGAGGAACUGUUCCUGGAGGAGCCGCGGGACGGCAAAACCAUCCAAUGGGAAGAGGCGAUUCGCGGAGAUUGGCACUGAAGAUGGGAAGGAUUUCAAGCCUCUUUGCAAAAAGAUCGUCCUGCCCCGUUUGGCGGGAAGGAUUCCCAGGGUGCUGCCAGAACAAGGCACGCGUGUCCGCAGACGAGACGCUUUGCCAGGGGCGUGAAAUGCCAGGUCUUCGUCUUAAAAGUCCAGACUUCGCUGUUAGGAGAGGAGGGGAACGGCUGAGGUUUUUAGAAGCCUCUCAGCUACAAGACCACGAGUCUGUUUCCAAUUCCUGGGAACAAAGAGAGACAAUGUAAUAAACCAGCACUGAGACUUGAAAAACCUGUCCCGCGCACCCCACCCCCAUAGUCUGGGUGGUGCUCCUGAACUGAGCUGUGUGAAGAGCUAAAUGGGAAGAGUUAGGUAAAUGACGUGGCUAAGGUUCUUAUGAAGUGGAACUUGAGUUAAAAGGGAUUUUGAGAUUGUAAUAAUCAAGACAUGCUGUAUAAUUAAUGCUGAGAGUCUUCGGUUUUUGUGUAUGUCUCUAAAUACACCCACAGCAGAAAACCGUCAGUAUUGCUGCAUUUAUACUUUUGUUUGAAGAACAGUCCAAUGGAGCUACUUCCACAUGAGCAGUGAGUGAAUAAUGCUGGUUUAGCCAAACGGUGGUAACUUUUUCUAUAAGGGCACAUCUUGGACAAGUAUUUAUCUUAUGUUGGAAACUAGUUAAGUUUUUGGUAUUAAUAACCCCCACGUUCCCAUUAUUUUACUUUCAAGAGCCUUAUGGGAAGCAGCUUAUUUAAAGAGACAUACAUUUUAUUUAAAGAUGUGC